GACGAACGCUGGCGGCGUGCUUAACACAUGCCAGUCGAACGGAAAGGCCCUGCUUUUGUGGGGUGCUCGAGUGGCGAACGGGUGAGUAACACGUGAGUAACCUGCCCUGGACUUUGGGAUAACUUCAGGAAACUGGGGCUAAUACCGGAUAGGAGCUCCUGCUGCAUGGUGGGGGUUGGAAAGUUUCGGCGGUUGGGGAUGGACUCGCGGCUUAUCAGCUUGUUGGUGGGGUAGUGGCUUACCAAGGCUUUGACGGGUAGCCGGCCUGAGAGGGUGACCGGCCACAUUGGGACUGAGAUACGGCCCAGACUCCUACGGGAGGCAGCAGUGGGGAAUAUUGCACAAUGGGCGGAAGCCUGAUGCAGCAACGCCGCGUGCGGGAUGACGGCCUUCGGGUUGUAAACCGCUUUCGCCUGUGACGAAGCGUGAGUGACGGUAAUGGGUAAAGAAGCACCGGCUAACUACGUG
This 468-nucleotide ribosomal RNA is filed under the name uncultured bacterium. RNAcentral's name for it is "partial 16S ribosomal RNA". It matches the Rfam family "Bacterial small subunit ribosomal RNA", at positions 28 to 507 of the family's 1533-position model. The record is from RNAcentral.